RNAcentral lists this ribosomal RNA (1343 nucleotides) under uncultured bacterium. Its description in RNAcentral is "16S ribosomal RNA". It matches the Rfam family "Bacterial small subunit ribosomal RNA", at positions 28 to 1378 of the family's 1533-position model. The record is from RNAcentral.
GACGAACGCUGGCGGCGUGCUUAACACAUGCAAGUCGAACGGAAAGGCCCUGCUUUUGUGGGGUGCUCGAGUGGCGAACGGGUGAGUAACACGUGAGUAACCUGCCCUUGACUUUGGGAUAACUUCAGGAAACUGGGGCUAAUACCGGAUAGGAGCUCCUGCUGCAUGGUGGGGGUUGGAAAGUUUCGGCGGUUGGGGAUGGACUCGCGGCUUAUCAGCUUGUUGGUGGGGUAGUGGCUUACCAAGGCUUUGACGGGUAGCCGGCCUGAGAGGGUGACCGGCCACAUUGGGACUGAGAUACGGCCCAGACUCCUACGGGAGGCAGCAGUGGGGAAUAUUGCACAAUGGGCGGAAGCCUGAUGCAGCAACGCCGCGUGCGGGAUGACGGCCUUCGGGUUGUAAACCGCUUUCGCCUGUGACGAAGCGUGAGUGACGGUAAUGGGUAAAGAAGCACCGGCUAACUACGUGCCAGCAGCCGCGGUGAUACGUAGGGUGCGAGCGUUGUCCGGAUUUAUUGGGCGUAAAGGGCUCGUAGGUGGUUGAUCGCGUCGGAAGUGUAAUCUUGGGGCUUAGCCCUGAGCGUGCUUUCGAUACGGGUUGACUUGAGGAAGGUAGGGGAGAAUGGAAUUCCUGGUGGAGCGGUGGAAUGCGCAGAUAUCAGGAGGAACACCAGUGGCGAAGGCGGUUCUCUGGGCCUUUCCUGACGCUGAGGAGCGAAAGCGUGGGGAGCGAACAGGCUUAGAUACCCUGGUAGUCCACGCUGUAAACGGUGGGUACUAGGUGUGGGGUCCAUUCCACGGGUUCCGUGCCGUAGCUAACGCUUUAAGUACCCCGCCUGGGGAGUACGGCCGCAAGGCUAAAACCCAAAGGAAUUGACGGGGCCCCGCACAAGCGGCGGAGCAUGCGGAUUAAUUCGAUGCAACGCGUAGAACCUUACCUGGGUUUGACAUGGAUCGGGAGUGCUCAGAGAUGGGUGUGCCUCUUUUGGGGUCGGUUCACAGGUGGUGCAUGGCUGUCGUCAGCUCGUGUCGUGAGAUGUUGGGUUAAGUCCCGCAACGAGCGCAACCCUUGUUCACUGUUGCCAGCACGUUAUGGUGGGGACUCAGUGGAGACCGCCGGGGUCAACUCGGAGGAAGGUGGGGAUGACGUCAAGUCAUCAUGCCCCUUAUGUCCAGGGCUUCACGCAUGCUACAAUGGCUGGUACAGAGAGUGGCGAGCCUGUGAGGGUGAGCGAAUCUCGGAAAGCCGGUCUCAGUUCGGAUUGGGGUCUGCAACUCGACCUCAUGAAGUCGGAGUCGCUAGUAAUCGCAGAUCAGCAACGCUGCGGUGAAUACGUUCCCGGG